Vicugna pacos (alpaca) is the source of this 1297-nucleotide non-coding RNA. Lineage: Eukaryota; Metazoa; Chordata; Mammalia; Artiodactyla; Camelidae. The record is from RefSeq and is a predicted model, not a curated record.
CAACCAGCAGGCUGUAGGAAGCUGUAGGACAGUGGAAUAAUUUAGUUUCCCUAUAAGCAGUAUGAUUGACGGCAGGUUUUGUUUUUUCUUUUUUUGAUGGUGUCCAGGUACUUAGCCGUCAGGUUGCUAUCAUCCUGCUUAAGUACUGGAAGAUGUUGACACCAUCUGCUGAAGGAGUUUCAGAUCUUAUUGCCGAGAAAUCUCCAACUGGACAUCCCAGUUCCUGUCCUGUUAAGUCUAGAAUUGGAAGUCAGCAAGGCUCUCCACGGCCUGAGAGGGAAGUAAAGGCAUUGCCUGCAACAGAGGGUACUUUAAGAGAGGACAGAUUCCCUGUGACUUCUGCCUGCAGUCCCUAAACCACUCGUCCCUCUUUCAAGUUGAUCGACGGGGAAUCAGAGACGCAGGGGAAAAACGGCGAAGAGCUCGCAGAGUGUGUAGUAGCCAGGGAGGCAGUGUGACGUCUGUCCUGCGUCACCUGCAUGGCUUUCCUCUUCCUGACGUAUCGCCCUGGUCAGCUGACCAACGUGUGCUCAGUUCUGCUGUCUCAGCGAAGACGCCCGCUCUCAGUCCUACUCGCGCUUCCAGCCUCCGGCGCCUCCCAAAGCUCCUGGGCCCCGCCAGCCCCCAUCCGCUCCGUUCUCUCCAGAACCCCCCGCCGAUCACUUUCCCAAAAACUCUUCUUACUGGAAUCAGCGGCAGUUUCCACCCUGCUGAACCCUGGUGCUCCCCUUCUUGUUAGCACCUGCACUUCUCAAACUGAAGAUUCUGCUUAAUUAUUUUUUGCCGCAUUUACGAGUUCCACGUAGUGCUCACUGUGUUCGCCGCCUGCAGAUCGUAGGUGCUCGGUAAACGUUAUCUUCUAAUGAACAAACCCAUUCCUGCUGCUUCCUGCGUUCCAGCUCUCCCGUCUGCAUAAACGUGCUUAAUCAGGCCCCUGUGGGGGUCUGGCCUCUGGAGGGCAGGAGGGUCGCAGGAAGUUGUCUUUGCCACGCUGGGGGGUCUCCGUGGUCUGGAGGGGCUGGCCCCAUCCUCCAGGGAAGCACUGAGAAGUCUGAUUUUUAUCUAGUCGAGUGAUGACUAGCCUGUUACCUUUCUGUUGUUCAGAAGAUACUCUCAUUUCCUUAGCAAGAUAUUGCAAUGAUUAUUUUCCACUAAGGAGGGUGCAGUGAGAUGUUGUGAGCCCCUCAGAGAACCUUACCAAAGAGCUUUACUGUCACUGCCACACACUGGAUUCUUCGGGCCUGUCUUGUAUAUUUAUGAAUGCCUUCUGCUCACAGAGCUUCCAGAACAUCUUCCU